Ornithorhynchus anatinus (platypus) is the source of this 1092-nucleotide long non-coding RNA. RefSeq lists it as uncharacterized. The transcript has 2 exons. Lineage: Eukaryota; Metazoa; Chordata; Mammalia; Monotremata; Ornithorhynchidae. The record is from RefSeq and is a predicted model, not a curated record.
GAAGCUAGGUUAAUUUAGGUUGAGGCUCCUGGAGCUCACAGUCUGAGAAGGAGGGAGAAGUAUUUUAUGCCCAUUGUAGAAAUGAGGCAACUGAGGCAAAGGGAAGUUAAAUGACUUGCCCAAGGUCACAUGGCAAGCAAGUGGUGGUCUUAGAACACAGAUCACCUGAUCCCCAGACUCCUUGGAUUAAUCAAAGUGACCCCCCACUCAAUAGUGCCGCAGUCUCCCAAGCACUUAGUACAGUGUUCAGCGCACAGUAAGCACUCAAUAAAUACUAAUUAUUGAUGAACUCAAAGGAGGAGCUGGGCCGCAGGACCUCUCUGCUCCGAGAGUUGCCUCUCCCCUGCCUCAGCUCAGAGCUGAGUUCAGAGGCAGGCGGCCCAGUUUUCUGGGCACCUUCUUUUCCAGACCUUUCCCUUUUUGUGAGCCACAGAAUCCUCUGCCCCUUCUCCUGCCCUCCCUCACGGAUGGCUGUUAUCAAUCUCGGCAAAGUAGCAUUUUGCUGCCUUGGACUGGCCAGAUCCAUUGGACAAUUGGAUUGGCAAGGAGGAAGAACAACUUUCCUACCGCUGUCCUUUUGCUUUUUUGGCAACACACCGAUCCUCUUUUAAGUGCUGAGCUGGAUAAAUAAUAGGGCUAAUGAUAAUAGUAACCCGGAUUCAUGCUGAUAGAGGGCUUUUCAUUGGUAAACAUUAUUAAUACCAUCAAUCAGUGGUAUUUAUUUUCCUGCCCCCUUUUGCCCCCCACAAAACCAAGGCCACGAAAUCCUCUUUGCCUGGAGCUGCUUAAAGGGCCAUCAGUGACCCUGCCUCAACUCUGGUAUGGCACAGUCCACUGAAGCGACAAUACAUCUAAAGAAAACUGAAGUUACGUACCAGUUAUGUACCACUAAGUUCCCGCCUUCUCUCGGGAAAAGGAUGUAGAUUUCAUCAGCAACGCAAAAAGCUUAAUGCUAUCAACAACACACAGGUAAACCAAGAAGUGGAAAACAGAAUCAAAAGGGCCAACAGGGCUGUUGGCAGAUUGUCCGACAUACUGUGGCAAAGACGUGGUACUUCUAAGAAUAUUAUUUAAAAUGUGCCCUUGGUUUUA